UCGAACGUUGUCACUCGAUUGAAUGGGGCGUUAUCAGCGGUUAUCAGCCCAUAGAAAUGGGCCAGGAGGGGCCUCCUGUGCCUACUAGUAGGCUCAGAAGGCCGUGAUCAUCCAUCCAAAUGGUUGAUCACCAACAAAUAUACAAGAGAAGACUCCAGAUCCAAUCCCAGAAUUCCUGCUCACCGGUAAUCGGAAGUCUACUGGACGAAUGCGGGAACGUUGCGAUAUUUCCUGCUUAAUAUUUUCAGCAUACAUCUCCAGCUGGUUGCAAGGACUUCUGUGGCAAGUUGAAGAUGGCCCAGAGAGGUUAGCCUUACAGUUGCUGAUCUAGAAGCAUUAGGCAAGAGUGUCUGAGAACGAUGAACUGGAUAGGUAAUUACAAAAGAUCACAAAUGACUAAUGCUUCGUCUGAGCCCCGGUCAUCAAAGGCCAAAGUUCACAUUAGAGAGCUGUCGGAUUACAAUCUUUUUUAUAGGGACAUAUUCAAAAACAAAGGCACAAUGAAUGAUAUUAAGGGCAGGUGCGCCACAUUGGGGGAAGAUGCAAAGCAGAAAUACAUUCAAGAGGCAGCAGCACUGAGGGCACAUGGGCAGUCAGGGGACACUAAACCCUGAGAUGGAGGCAAUUUGUGCUGUGUCUGCCGCAUCCAUUUUUAUGAUAAGAAGAAGAAUGCAAGAAAGAAGUGGCAUUCAUGGUCUCAGUGCACAGUGUGCCAAUCAUGGUCACACACAGCAUGUGGCUUUAAAAAGAACAAGUGUGUUCACUGCCAGUGUCAAGACACCAUGCUAACACCCUGAAGAUGUAUCUUGUUACUUGUUUGAGUUGUUUUUACUGUGUUGACGGCCCCCAACCCAUCCAUACAAACACACACACACAAUACAUACAUAUGCUGCAAAUUUAUUGUAAUGACCACACUUCACACGUAAGAAGAAAAUUGUGAUCUUUUUGUUAUUUUCAUUCACCCAAUUUUUAUUUAUUAUUGUUGUUUGUUGGCACCAUCAAUGUGUUCUCCUUUAUACAGGACUUAUGUGGGGAACAAUAAAGUUAUAUUGUACUGAA
This is a long non-coding RNA of Carassius gibelio (silver crucian carp), 1059 nucleotides long. RefSeq lists it as uncharacterized. NCBI's taxonomy places the organism in Eukaryota, Metazoa, Chordata, Actinopteri, Cypriniformes, Cyprinidae. The record is from RefSeq and is a predicted model, not a curated record. The transcript has 6 exons.